RNAcentral lists this non-coding RNA (24 nucleotides) under Arabidopsis thaliana (thale cress). Lineage: Eukaryota; Viridiplantae; Streptophyta; Magnoliopsida; Brassicales; Brassicaceae. The record is from RNAcentral.
GAACGGGUCUGACCGGUCCGGUGG